Molecule: ribosomal RNA, 465 nt
Filed under: Vreelandella stevensii
Lineage: Bacteria; Pseudomonadati; Pseudomonadota; Gammaproteobacteria; Oceanospirillales; Halomonadaceae
Description: partial 16S ribosomal RNA
Rfam family: Bacterial small subunit ribosomal RNA
Source: RNAcentral
CCUACGGGGGGCUGCAGUGGGGAAUAUUGGACAAUGGGGGGAACCCUGAUCCAGCCAUGCCGCGUAUGUGAAGAAGGCCCUCGGGUUGUAAAGCACUUUCAGUGAGGAAGAACGCCUGGUGGUUAAUACCCAUCAGGAAAGACAUCACUCACAGAAGAAGCACCGGCUAACUCCGUGCCAGCAGCCGCGGUAAUACGGAGGGUGCGAGCGUUAAUCGGAAUUACUGGGCGUAAAGCGCGCGUAGGUGGCUUGAUAAGCCGGUUGUGAAAGCCCCGGGCUCAACCUGGGAACGGCAUCCGGAACUGUCAAGCUAGAGUGCAGGAGAGGAAGGUAGAAUUCCCGGUGUAGCGGUGAAAUGCGUAGAGAUCGGGAGGAAUACCAGUGGCGAAGGCGGCCUUCUGGACUGACACUGACACUGAGGUGCGAAAGCGUGGGUAGCAAACAGGAUUAGAUACCCCAGUAGUC